CGCGCGUGAGGAGCGCGGGGUCCUGGCCGCGGGCGCCUCGGGAGCCGCAGUUGGGGCUGUCGUGUCCCGCGCUGUGAGCGGCAGGGAGCUGAGCGGCGGCGCUGGGGCGCGGCUGCGGCUGCAGGAUGCCUUUGCCGGGCUCGCGGGACCCUGCUAAGACGGAGCCUCACAUCCUGCGGUCAUCGUGCAGCCUGGCGCCCAGUGCACAGCAGCCGCCGCCUGUGAGCCACACUGUGAUUUAUGGUGGAGACGAAGAGAGACAGAGACACUAGCAGCACUGCAGCACCACUUAUGAAGCUUUCCCCAGCGGGUGUGGACCAAGAUCUUGAAUCCAGGUCCUCAUGCUCUUUCAAAAAAUAAAAAGCACAAAAUGACCGCUGA
Long non-coding RNA from Erinaceus europaeus (western European hedgehog), 381 nucleotides. RefSeq lists it as uncharacterized. The record is from RefSeq and is a predicted model, not a curated record. Lineage: Eukaryota; Metazoa; Chordata; Mammalia; Eulipotyphla; Erinaceidae. The transcript is spliced from 2 exons.